UUGACCUCAAAUCGGGUGAGACUACCCGCUGAACUUAAGCAUAUCAAUAAGCGGAGGAAAAGAAACUAACAAGGAUUCCCCUAGUAACUGCGAGUGAAGCGGGAAAAGCUCAAAUUUAAAAUCUGUUGGUCUUUGGCCAUCCGAGUUGUAAUUUAGAGAAGCGUUUUCCGCGCUGGACCUUGCACAAGUCUCCUGGAAUGGAGCGUCAUAGAGGGUGAGAAUCCCGUCUUUGGCACGGACACACCAGGGCUUUUGUGAUGCGCUCUCGAAGAGUCGAGUUGUUUGGGAAUGCAGCUCAAAAUGGGUGGUGAACUCCAUCUAAAGCUAAAUAUUGGCGAGAGACCGAUAGCGAACAAGUACCGUGAGGGAAAGAUGAAAAGCACUUUGGAAAGAGAGUGAAACAGUACGUGAAAUUGUUGAAAGGGAAACGCUUGAAGUCAGUCGCGUCGACCGAGACUCAGCCUUGCCUUGGCUUGGUGUACUUCUCGGCUGACGGGUCAGCAUCAAUUUUGCCCCUUGGAUAAUGGCGAGGGAAAUGUGACACCUUUAUGGUGUGUUAUAGUCCCUUGUCGCAUGCAAGGGUUGGGAUUGAGGAACUCAGCACGCACCUUUGGGUGUCGGGGCUUGCCCACGAUACGUGCUAGGAGUGCUA
Molecule: ribosomal RNA, 652 nt
Filed under: uncultured Russula
Lineage: Eukaryota; Fungi; Basidiomycota; Agaricomycetes; Russulales; Russulaceae
Description: eukaryotic LSU rRNA
Rfam family: Eukaryotic large subunit ribosomal RNA
Source: RNAcentral